AUUGAACGCUGGCGGCAUGCCUAACACAUGCAAGUCGAACGGACCCUUCGGGGUUAGUGGCGGACGGGUGAGUAACACGUGGGAACGUGCCUUUAGGUUCGGAAUAGCUCCUGGAAACGGGUGGUAAUGCCGAAUGUGCCCUUCGGGGGAAGGAUUUAUCGCCUUUAGAGCGGCCCGCGUCUGAUUAGCUAGUUGGUGAGGUAAUGGCUCACCAAGGCGACGAUCAGUAGCUGGUCUGAGAGGAUGACCAGCCACACUGGGACUGAGACACGGCCCAGACUCCUACGGGAGGCAGCAGUGGGGAAUCUUGCGCAAUGGGCGAAAGCCUGACGCAGCCAUGCCGCGUGAAUGAUGAAGGUCUUAGGGUUGUAAAAUUCUUUCACCGGGGACGAUAAUGACGGUACCCGGAGAAGAAGCCCCGGCUAACUUCGUGCCAGCAGCCGCCGUAA
RNAcentral lists this ribosomal RNA (449 nucleotides) under uncultured bacterium. RNAcentral describes it as "partial 16S ribosomal RNA". It matches the Rfam family "Bacterial small subunit ribosomal RNA", at positions 30 to 523 of the family's 1533-position model. The record is from RNAcentral.